AUCGAGUUAGUUUUCUUACGCACUCCGACGAGUGAACGUCAUAACUCCGUCUUUCCAAAUGAAAAAGUUUAGAAAUGAAUACUUUCGAUAAUUUUACAAUUAUUUAAACAAUUUUUAAUGUACGUGGAAUAUAAUAAACUAAUAUUUAAACAAUAGUAAAUUCGUUUAACGUCACAAAGAUCGUAAUACGAAAGAAACUUAAAAUUAUUUUAAUGAAAAAUAUCAACUUCGGGAUCAUUGGCCUUGUGUAAUAUAAACAUGUACGACUUUUAUUAACUUUGUUGUUUAUCGAGUUAGUUGUCUUACGCACUCCGACGAGUGAACGUCAUAACUCCGUCUUUCCAAAUGGAAAAGUUUAGAAAUGAAUACUUUCGAUAAUUUUACAAUUAUUUAAACAAUUUUUAAUUUUAGAAUUAAAUUGCGCAGUAGGGAUACUUGGCCACGCGUGACGAUAACAAAUUGGACCUUUGACCGACUUUGACAGUUAUUAGCUCAGUUCUGCUUUGAAUUUCGACGAGUCAACAUCGCAGGAUGCGAUCUCUGCGAGUAAUGACGAAGACUUAAUAAUGAAAUUGCGAAGUGGGGAUAUUCGACAACAAAAUCAGCCCUUUGACCGACUUUGACAAUUACUGAUUCAGUUCUACUUUGUAUUUCGACGAGUCGACAUCGCAGGAUGCGGUCUCUGCGAGUAAUAACGAAGACUUAAUAAUGAAAUUGCGAAGUGGGGAUAUUCGACAACAAAAUCAGCCCUUUGACCGACUUUGACAAUUACUGAUUCAGUUCUACUUUGUAUUUCGACGAGUCGACAUCGCAGGAUGCGGUCUCUGCGAGUAAUGACGAAGACUUAAUAAUGAAAUUGCGAAGUGGGGAUAUUCGACAACAAAAUCGGCCCUUUGACCGACUUUGACAAUUACUGGUUCAGUUCUACUUUGUAUUUCAACGAGAGAACUUAGAAAUUUUCGCUGGAUACCGUUCGUACGAGCUUCAACGAUGACUUAAAAAGUUCGUUGCAAUCGCGCGCGUUGCAACGAUGUAAUCGAGUGUUAGUAUCGCUAAAAUAAAUUUAUCGCGAGGUAGAAGCAGUGUUUGUUCGUUCGCGUGUCGCGAUUUAAACCAUAAGUGUAAACCAUAAGUGUUCUUGCGUAGACUGCGUGCAAUGCAGUCGAUAGAGUCAGUGUUUGUUCGCAAAGUUUUUUGCUCUUUUAACAGUCGUACAGACUGUACUUAUAAAAGAUAGUAGAGUUCCGCGAAUUAAAUUCAGUGAUCGUUCGCUAAUAAAUAACUAUCGCGAAUUAGAGUCAGUGCAUCACCGAAGAGGAUCUCGACCAACUUCGAUGUCAACCUACCUCAUUUUCAACCAACUACGAAUCAUCCACCCUCAAUUUCGACCUAAGUCGAGGACGAGUGUUUUGGAGCCAUCGCAGAACUUCUUAAGUAGUAAGUGAAUUUUUAAGUUCCUCCGAUCACUCGAUCAUGUCGAGGACAACAAAGGUCCGAAUCGGCACGAGUGAUUGGUUGUAAUUAAUAAGUAAAAGAGCGUUGAGUGACCACUAGUAAAUUUCUUUCGAUUUUUCAUUUUGAAAUUUCACAGGAUGGUUUUCGAGUUUCGUUAGAUUUAUUAGUUUUCUUCUACGUUUUAGAAUAAAGAUAGUUUAUGAUUGUUAUCGAAUGUUUUAUAGUAGUUGUUAGUACACAAAACAAAGAGGCUACAUGCCAAAGAGGCCCUCACAAAUUGUGGCUCAAGAGGGUAACUAUUAGACUAUUGAGUUAUUUUCGAAGGUUCGACAGAAACCUUCGAAAAUGGCUCUUAGUCAUAUUUUAAUUUUACUAUGUGGUCGUUCAAAAUGCUCUUAUGUAAUAAUAAUGCUGAUUUCAGAAACUCAGACGACGUAACAUCCCGUCUUCCAUCCCUCAUUGCCAUGUGUCCGCAAAUAGCAUUAUUAUAUAUUUUAUUCAUUUUUAUUAGUAACGUCGAGUAGUAAAUUUUUCUUUUAUUUACAUUUUCUUUUCUAAAGUUUCAUUAAAUUCAUAAUUCCUUAUUUUUAUAAAAGCAAAUUCUAUAUUCA
Molecule: long non-coding RNA, 2066 nt
Organism: Vespula vulgaris
Lineage: Eukaryota; Metazoa; Arthropoda; Insecta; Hymenoptera; Vespidae
Exons: 6
Source: RefSeq, a predicted model, not a curated record